AGGACGAACGCUGGCGGCGUGCUUAACACAUGCAAGUCGAGCGGAAAGGCCCUUCGGGGUACUCGAGCGGCGAACGGGUGAGUAACACGUGAGUAAUCUGCCCCUAGCUCUGGGAUAGCUCCGGGAAAACCGGGAUUAAUACCGGAUACGACCACCUUAGACAUCUUUUGUGGUGGAAAGAAUUUCGGCUAGGGAUGAGCUCGCGGCCUAUCAGCUUGUUGGUGGGGUAACGGCCUACCAAGGCGACGACGGGUAGCCGGCCUGAGAGGGCGACCGGCCACACUGGGACUGAGACACGGCCCAGACUCCUACGGGAGGCAGCAGUGGGAAUAUUGCGCAAUGGGCGAAAGCCUGACGCAGCGACGCCGCGUGGGGGAUGAAGGCCUUCGGGUUGUAAACCCUUUCAGCAGGGACGAAGCGAAAGUGACGGUACCUGCAGAAGAAGCGCCGGCUAACUACGUGCCAGCAGCCGC
Molecule: ribosomal RNA, 473 nt
Filed under: uncultured bacterium
Lineage: Bacteria
Description: SSU rRNA
Rfam family: Bacterial small subunit ribosomal RNA
Source: RNAcentral